This 253-nucleotide ribosomal RNA is filed under the name uncultured bacterium. RNAcentral describes it as "partial 16S ribosomal RNA". It matches the Rfam family "Bacterial small subunit ribosomal RNA", at positions 524 to 776 of the family's 1533-position model. The record is from RNAcentral.
UACGUAGGGACCAAGCGUUGUCCGGAAUCAUUGGGCGUAAAGAGCGUGUAGGCGGCUUGUUAAGUCUUGCGUGAAAUCUCGGGGCUCAACCCCGAGCGGUCGUGAGAAACUGGCAGGCUAGAGUGCGGGAGAGGAGAGUGGAAUUCCUGGUGUAGCGGUGAAAUGCGUAGAGAUCGGAAAGAACACCAACGGCGAAAGCACUCUGCUGGGCCGACACUGACACUGAGAGACGAAAGCUAGGGGAGCGAAUGGG